CGACAGGAGCUGGGGAGGGGGGGACUGAUAACCAUGCAUGCGGGGGUGGGGUGUGUGUGUGGGGGGGUGGAGAACUGAGCUUGACUUUGGGGUGGCAGUCUCAGGCCAUGGACGGGUCUGAACCUAUGCAGCUGGCCCCAGGGCUAGUUCCCCCUCUGGAAAGAGCCCCUCCUUUGGGGAUAUGACUUCCACCCUACCCCUAGGACACAGAGGGAACCUGGGUGGCAAGGGAAUGAUGGCUACCCUCACAAAAUAAGACUUCCUGCCAACCCUUAAAGAACAAGUGUUGACCAUAACCUUGGAGCUUGUCUUUUCACCACAUGAUGUAAAUUCUUAAAGGGUUGGAGCAUAGCAAGUAAUCCACCAACUUUAAGGUUAUUAUUUACAAAUCCAUCUUAGAAAUUCUAAUCAAUUCCAUUAUAUGAGAAGAAUGUGCUGAAUCCCCAAAGUCACUUACUUUAAAAAUCCUUCAUAUUUGAAUGUUCAUCCUAACAUGUCAAUUACUGAAUAAACUAGGAACAUUAAAUUUUACUUUUUUCUUUUUAGCACCACACCAGUGGCAUAUUGAAGUUUCCAGACUAGGGGUUGAAUUGGAGCUACAGCAGCAAGUUUAGGCCACAGGCACGGCAACGCCACAUCUGCGACCUACACUGCAGCUUGCAGCAAUGCCAGAUCCUUAACCCACUGAGCAAGGCCAGGGCUUGAACCUGCAUCCUCACAGUUACCAGUUGGGUUCUUAACCUGCUGAGCCACAGUGGGCACUCCCAAUGUUAAAUUUUUUUUAAAGCUUGUGUACUUUGGGUUUUAAACAUCCAGAUUCUCAUCUUCAGGUAAGGUAAAUUUAUGCAUGUGAUUCCAGAAAAAAAGAACUGUAUUCAUUGUGGCAAUUCCUAUAUUGGAAUAACAUUGGCUUAUAUGCAGGGAUUGUUAUGUUACAUGAUAACUUCUAAAGAUUCUGCUUAAAGAAAUGUAAAUUUUAGGCUGACCUAACACUGUGUUUUUAUGAGUUUGGAGGAAAAGGUCCUACUAAUUGGUUCUCUGCAGUCAGAGAUUUCUGUCAAUUUUAGGAGGUAAUUCACAUGGCAAAUGUCAGAAAAUUGCUCACACACAUUCAAGGGAGGCACCACAGCUGGAGGCGUUAUGGGCUUAGGUUUGCCAAUUGUGAGUAUGUAACCCCAGGCAAGUGACCUAACAUUUCUAUCCCCCAGUUUCCUCAUCUGCAAAAUGUGGAAGAAGAAAAAAGAAAGAAGGAAGAAGGAAGAAGGAAGAAGAGGAAGAGGAAGAGGAAGAAGAAGAAGAACUUACCUCAACAGGUCCUUGGGAGAAUUAAACCAAGGAUCCAGGUUAAGGUGCUUAGAGCCCUUAGUGCCGAGAUGCUUGCUAUUGUUUGCUGCUAACACAAAGGUCUUCUAGGAGCCCGUGAGAGGUCAGUGCUAUUUGGCUGCUGAUUUAACAAUUGUGUUGGGUUAGGGCCUUAAAAUUUCAAUACCAUCAAACCAGCCUCCCCAAAGCCACUCACAGUAAUCUUUAGCAAACAUAUAUGACAGAUGCCCGAAUAAAAGCCAUGUAAGUUCUUCUAUCCAUAGAACAUCCUCCAAAUCCACAGCAAGGUAUAGCCCUUGCACUACAUAAAUCUAAACCAGUCUUCUUUCUAGAAGACGUGGUCCAGAGAGUGGACACUGUGGGUGAUUCCACAGCGGCCAUCCCACCCCAACCCUCAGCUGACUGGUCUGUGCCAGUCAGCCCUUUACAGGGACCAGCUCAGUAAAUGAGGUCCUGGAGCCGUCUGGACGGCCUACUGGGUGCUUCUAAGAAAAAGCUACAAGAAGCCAGCUCUCCCUCCUUGGGGGCUGUGAAAGGCCAGCCAGUAGCCCCCACCCCUGGGGGACCAUCACCCGUCAACCUCUUACGAACCAACCCUGGAAUCCAGCUGAUGUUGGAUGCAGGUCAGAGAAACCCAAAGAGCUUGGAGCUUGGGGGAUACUGUCUAACCCUGAACCUGCCCUGCUUUCCACCUCCUUGUUAAGGUGAUUUUCUACUUGUCUAAACCUGAGUGAGGCUGAUUUCCUUUUACUCACUGAUGAAAACAGACAAUGGAGUGUGGACACAUUUGUCCUCUCAACUGACCAUUAAUACAUGGAAGCACAGAAGCUUCCCUGGUCAGAGAAGCCGCACAUCACAGGCUGAAUCCAUUAAUGGAAGAAUAUUCCACCAUGUUGCUGACUUUGCCCCAAAGCAGAAAGCAACUCGACACCAGCUUGCUCCUAUCACUCCCAGCCCGGGUGGCCUCCAUCGCCACUUAGGGCCUCAGUGUUCAGUGGGGCCGUUUACACCAUCAAUCAAAUGAGAGGCUGGACUUGACAAAGAAGGGACUCUGACCUGCUUCCAUGGCUGCAGCUGGGCCAUCAGGGUCCUCCGCACUGGCGGUGGCAAUGCCCGAACACCACCUGGGUGUCAGCCUCCCAAGGCCAAAGCUGCCCAGGCUGUGUCCAAGGGAGAAUGAGUGUCCUGCAGUCUGUCAGCCUGAGCAGAAGGCGGCAGGGCAUAUUUCUGAUACAUAGAAGUUAGUAUUAGGACCCAGGACUCAGUUGUAUCCCUGGACACCCCCACGCUCCCGGUGCUUUGUGUUGGGAUAACAGCCAGGGUUCUUUCUGCACUAUGUUCCCUGAACUCUUUGGGAAGCUGGGAUGGUCUCCAUAUGAUAAUGGAAUGCACCGGGGCCACUGCACACUUUCCUUCCUAGAAACAUGGCCUCCACAGGAGAUGGGCAGUGGAGGGGCUGCCCUGUGCCCGGGGAGCAGGGGGCAGAGCAGGUGUUGUGGGGCCUUGGGCAGCGCUGCCAUGGCAGCAAAGCUGGUCCCUGGUCCAGCCUCUGGGCCCAGUGGGAAGGAGCGCCCUUGGGUCAGGUGGGUGGCUUCAUCUAAGCUCCCCAACCCUCAAUGGACAGACAGGUGACAUGAACAGGUAAGAUGGGGCAGACCAAGAGAACAGCAGGGAGGAACGAUGAGCUGAGUCAGCCAGUGGAAAUCUCUGAAAUGAGUCCACAAAGAACAUGGGAAGGACAGGUGAAAACAAGGCCCAGAUAACCCGGCAGGUUCUGCCCAGUUAUACAUGAUCUUAGUGGCUACUUUCUCUUAUAAAACUCACCCAGUAUCUAUAGCUCAGGUACUUUUAUUAGGGUAACCAUUCACUGAAAAAUAAAAGCCCUAUUACCUCCUCUUUACAGAGUAUCGGAAAUAGGAUGUUAUAGAGGAAAAGAGGCCUUCAAGUGACUUCCAGACACAUAACUAUCUGGAGCUCUCACAAACUGACAAAGGGAGCAGCUAGGGGGAACUCCUGCUGCUUGGGCCUGAAGUCCCGUCAAGCUUUUUAUAGACUCAAAGGAUCCAGAAAGUCCAUUUCAAUACGUCUGAUGAUGAAAACAACUCCAAUGGCAUUAAGUCCUCAAAAAAAAAGGUUUUUUUUUGUCUUUUUAGGGCUGUACCCGAAGCAUAUGGAGGUUCCCAAGUUAUGGGUCAAAUCGAAGCUGCUGCCAGCCUACACCACAGCCACAGCAAUGUGGGAUCUGAGCUGUGUCUUUGACCUACACCACAGCUCACGCCAAUGCCAGAUCCUUAACCCACUGAGUGAGGCCAGGGAUCGAACCUGCGUCCUCAUAGAUGAUAGUCAGAUUCACUUCUACUAAGCCACGAUGGGAACUCCCAAGUCCUCACAAAUUAACAAGAUGAUCUGUCUAGUCACUUAGUUUGAAUCAUUAGUUAAAUGUUUAAUUACACAUUUUCAAAGAAAGAUAGCAAAC
Molecule: long non-coding RNA, 3799 nt
Filed under: Sus scrofa (pig)
Lineage: Eukaryota; Metazoa; Chordata; Mammalia; Artiodactyla; Suidae
Description: lncRNA (ENSSSCG00000056333.1)
Source: RNAcentral